Malus domestica (apple) is the source of this 980-nucleotide long non-coding RNA. RefSeq lists it as uncharacterized. The record is from RefSeq and is a predicted model, not a curated record. NCBI's taxonomy places the organism in Eukaryota, Viridiplantae, Streptophyta, Magnoliopsida, Rosales, Rosaceae.
UUUCAUUUCUGAUUUCUCACUCAGCCUUCCAACACCGACAGCAUUCCUUCGAAUCGUCUCUGACUCUCCAGCCGCCCAGCCUUCCUUCACGAAUCGCCACCGCCACGCCAAAGCAUCAAAGACUGAACUCUCCAGCCUUCCUUCAUGAAUCGUCUCCGACUCUUGCGAUCUCUCUCUCACGGACAGAACUCUCGAUCUAGCACCGAGUCCGAGUCUCACUCUCACCCCAAAUUAGGGAGAAGUGUUAGUAGGUUUAGCACUGCUGUAGCAACUGAGGAGUUAAUCAUUUCACCUGUUCAAACUUCAAAUUAGUCACACGCUGCGUCAGCUCGACCACCGCUAAACCCUGAUUCUCCUUCCCCAUCGUGUCUGAACCAGUACGAGCUCGUCAACUCCGCCGCCAUUGCCAAAACCUGUGCUCAAACAAUAACUUGGGGGAAGCCAAUACUGAGAUCUAUUUCUCCUUCUCUUUGUACUUCUCACUUCCAAAUGAACCAGAAGAAUAUCAAGAAGGCCUUGAAGAAGGCAGGCUUUAAUAAUACCUUAUCAAGUAAGUUUGCUCCGAUGUUCUAUGUCGUAAGAGCAGAAUGCGUACGCCAAACCAGGCCAAACGAAGAACGACACAAAACGCAAAGGGAAAAAAAAGUUGCAAUUAAGGAAGAAAAUGCUGACUGAGCGAGCCUCCCCAGCCGGCAACUGCACAAAUUUCACGGCAUAUUAUUGAUUUGUAAAAAUUGAAGCAAAACCAGAAUAAGCAAAUGUGAAAAUUUUGACUUCAAUUUUGAAAGCAAUCUGGUAAUUUAGCAUUGCUUUACAAACUGGUAGUUUCUUAUUUUGCUUUUCAUUUUUCUUUUGAUUUUGGCCUGUGAGGAUGGUGUAAUUCCUUCUAGCAGAUCUCUUCUUGCUCUUGACCUUACAAUUUGAUGCUACUCUUGAAUCAUGUAUUUCUUCCGUUGGCAAAAAUUUUGGUAUAUUUUUUA